RNAcentral lists this ribosomal RNA (253 nucleotides) under uncultured bacterium. RNAcentral describes it as "partial 16S ribosomal RNA". It matches the Rfam family "Bacterial small subunit ribosomal RNA", at positions 524 to 776 of the family's 1533-position model. The record is from RNAcentral.
UACGUAGGGGGCAAGCGUUGUCCGGAAUCAUUGGGCGUAAAGCGCGUGUAGGCGGCUGGCUAAGUCCGCUCUGAAAGCCCGGGGCUCAACCCCGGGAGGCGGGUGGAUACUGGUCAGCUCGAGUCCGGAAGAGGAGUGUGGAAUUCCUGGUGUAGCGGUGAAAUGCGCAGAUAUCAGGAGGAACACCAAUGGUGAAGGCAGCACUCUGGGACGGUACUGACGCUGAGACGCGAAAGCGUGGGGAGCAAACAGG